RNAcentral lists this ribosomal RNA (366 nucleotides) under Klebsiella variicola. RNAcentral's name for it is "partial 23S ribosomal RNA". It matches the Rfam family "Bacterial large subunit ribosomal RNA", at positions 1271 to 1637 of the family's 2925-position model. The record is from RNAcentral. Lineage: Bacteria; Pseudomonadati; Pseudomonadota; Gammaproteobacteria; Enterobacterales; Enterobacteriaceae. RNAcentral also lists the same sequence under 1 other name.
UGCUGGAGGUAUCAGAAGUGCGAAUGCUGACAUAAGUAACGAUAAAGCGGGUGAAAAGCCCGCUCGCCGGAAGACCAAGGGUUCCUGUCCAACGUUAAUCGGGGCAGGGUGAGUCGACCCCUAAGGCGAGGCCGAAAGGCGUAGUCGAUGGGAAACAGGUUAAUAUUCCUGUACUUGGUGUUACUGCGAAGGGGGGACGGAGAAGGCUAUGUUAGCCGGGCGACGGUUGUCCCGGUUUAAGCAUGUAGGCGGAGGUUCCAGGUAAAUCCGGUACCUUUUAACGCUGAGGUGUGAUGACGAGGCACUACGGUGCUGAAGUAACAAAUGCCCUGCUUCCAGGAAAAGCCUCUAAGCAUCAGGUAACAU